GUGCUUACUGUGGCAGCACAUGUAUACUAAAAUUGGAAAAAUAUAGCAAAUACUUGUAAAGUUCCUGGCAAGGAUGAUAUGCAAAUUUGUGAAGCACUCAUUUUUGUC
Molecule: small nuclear RNA, 108 nt
Filed under: Fukomys damarensis (Damara mole-rat)
Lineage: Eukaryota; Metazoa; Chordata; Mammalia; Rodentia; Bathyergidae
Source: RNAcentral